AGGAGGUCGUAGGUCAUGCAGA
Molecule: microRNA, 22 nt
Filed under: Ornithorhynchus anatinus (platypus)
Lineage: Eukaryota; Metazoa; Chordata; Mammalia; Monotremata; Ornithorhynchidae
Description: oan-miR-1421am
Source: miRBase by way of RNAcentral